GUAUUGGUAGUUCAGUGGUAGAAUUCUCACCUCCCACAUGGGAGACCGAGGUUCAAUUCCUAGCCGAUGCA
RNAcentral lists this transfer RNA (71 nucleotides) under Loxodonta africana (African savanna elephant). It matches the Rfam family "tRNA". From Rfam's summary of the family: Transfer RNA (tRNA) molecules are approximately 80 nucleotides in length. Their secondary structure includes four short double-helical elements and three loops (D, anti-codon, and T loops). The record is from Rfam by way of RNAcentral. Lineage: Eukaryota; Metazoa; Chordata; Mammalia; Proboscidea; Elephantidae.